This 440-nucleotide ribosomal RNA is filed under the name uncultured bacterium. RNAcentral's name for it is "partial 16S ribosomal RNA". It matches the Rfam family "Bacterial small subunit ribosomal RNA", at positions 338 to 795 of the family's 1533-position model. The record is from RNAcentral.
CCUACGGGCGGCAGCAGUGGGGAAUAUUGCACAAUGGGGGAAACCCUGAUGCAGCGACGCCGCGUGAGUGAAGAAGUAAUUCGUUAUGUAAAGCUCUAUCAGCAGGGAAGAAAAUGACGGUACCUGAGUAAGAAGCCCCGGCUAACUACGUGCCAGCAGCCGCGGUAAGACGUAGGGGGCAAGCGUUAUCCGGAUUUACUGGGUGUAAAGGGAGCGUAGACGGCAGUGCAAGUCUGGAGUGAAAGGCGGGGGCUCAACCCCCGGACUGCUCUGGAAACUGUACGGCUGGAGUGCAGGAGAGGUAAGUGGAAUUCCUAGUGUAGCGGUGAAAUGCGUAGAUAUUAGGAGGAACACCAGUGGCGAAGGCGGCUUACUGGACUGUAACUGACGUUGAGGCUCGAAAGCGUGGGGAGCAAACAGGAUUAGAUACCCCUGUAGUC